CAAUCCAUGAGUACAGUGGCGACCGGGUGAGUAACACGUGACUAACCUACCUUCGAGUGGGGGAUAACCUCGGGAAACCGAGGCUAAUACCGCAUAACAUCGAGAGAUCAAAGGAGCAAUUCGCUUGAAGAGGGGGUCGCGGCUGAUUAGCUAGUUGGCGGGGUAAUGGCCCACCAAGGCGAAGAUCGGUAGCCGGCCUGAGAGGGCGCACGGCCACACUGGAACUGAAACACGGUCCAGACUCCUACGGGAGGCAGCAGUGGGGAAUUUUGCGCAAUGGGGGAAACCCUGACGCAGCAACGCCGCGUGGAGGAUGACGCCCCUUGGGGUGUAAACUCCUUUCGACCAAGACGAUAAUGACGGUACUGGUGGAAGAAGCACCGGCUAACUCUGUGCCAGCAGCCGCGGUAAU
This 412-nucleotide ribosomal RNA is filed under the name uncultured Acidobacteriota bacterium. RNAcentral's name for it is "bacterial SSU rRNA". It matches the Rfam family "Bacterial small subunit ribosomal RNA", at positions 80 to 524 of the family's 1533-position model. Lineage: Bacteria; Pseudomonadati; Acidobacteriota. The record is from RNAcentral.